Molecule: ribosomal RNA, 428 nt
Filed under: uncultured bacterium
Lineage: Bacteria
Description: partial 16S ribosomal RNA
Rfam family: Bacterial small subunit ribosomal RNA
Source: RNAcentral
GUGGGGAAUAUUGGGCAAUGGGCGCAAGCCUGACCCAGCAACGCCGCGUGAAGGAAGAAGGCUUUCGGGUUGUAAACUUCUUUUACCAGGGACGAAACAAAUGACGGUACCUGGUGAAUAAGCCACGGCUAACUACGUGCCAGCAGCCGCGGUAAUACGUAGGUGGCGAGCGUUAUCCGGAUUUAUUGGGUGUAAAGGGCGUGUAGGCGGGACAGCAAGUCAGAUGUGAAAACCAGAGGCUCAACCUCUGGCCUGCAUUUGAAACUGUUGUUCUUGAGUGUCGGAGAGGUAAUCGGAAUUCCGUGUGUAGCGGUGAAAUGCGUAGAUAUACGGAGGAACACCAGUGGCGAAGGCGGAUUACUGGACGAUAACUGACGCUGAGGCGCGAAAGCGUGGGGAGCAAACAGGAUUAGAAACCCCAGUAGUCC